GGCAAAGAGAAGAGAGCAUGAAGCUGCGAUUUUGAACAUGCCUAGUCCCAGAGAUGCAUGCGGGGAGAACUCCAUGUGAAGGUAAAGGCAGAGAUGCUUCAUUAAGCCAAGGAAUGCCAAAGGUGGCCAGCAAACCACCAGAAACCAGACAAGAUGCAUGGAACAGAUUGUGUCUCGUAGCUUUCAGAAGGAACCAACCCUGCCAUCAUGCAUUGAUUUUGGACUUCUGGCUUCCAGAACUGUGUGGGUUUGUCAUCCAGCGAGGAGAUAAGCAGAAAGUGCUGGGCCACUCCACUGGAGAAAUUGGAGACCUUUCUUCUGGCUGUGUCUAGGGAGGCAUGAGAGAGUGAGAGAAAACUCUGAGGAAUUGGCUCAGACAGAGGAGGGAGACAAGGUACCAUGUUAACAACAGGACUGAAAUUUCGCCCAGAGUACAGAGAGCUCAGCAGAUUCCUGGCAUUUCUGAAAAACAGUCCUUUGGGGUUGAAUCAAAUUAAAUGCUUUAGGAAAAAAAGUUUUGAUAUUCAAGAGAAAUAAUGUGGCUCAACAACUGAAGUUCCACUUCUGAUGGACCUGAGAAGCCUUGCAAAUGACGUUUGAUUUUCACACUCUUUGAAGAGACAACAGAUUUCAUUGUGUAGGGGAGAAGCUGCCCAAGUGGACUUCUGGAGUUCUGACCACUUUGGGAGAUCCAUUGACUGAAAUGGAAGAAAAUAAUUCUAAAAUUUGUAUGGAACCACAAAGACUGCUAAUAGCCAAAGCUAGUUUGAACAAGAAGAACAAAGCUGGAGGCCUCACACCUUCUGAUUUCAAAAUAUAUUACAAAGCUACAGUACUAGCAUAAAAACAGAUGCAUAAACCAAUGGGUAGAAUAGAUAGCCCAGAAAUAAGCCCACUUAUAUGUGGUCAGCUAAUUUUUAACAAGGGUGCUAAGAAUACAUAACAGGCAAAUGAUAGUCUCUUCAAUCAAGUAUGGAGAAAAUUGGAUAUCUACAUGCAAA
RNAcentral lists this long non-coding RNA (1001 nucleotides) under Pongo abelii (Sumatran orangutan). Its description in RNAcentral is "lincRNA". The record is from RNAcentral. Lineage: Eukaryota; Metazoa; Chordata; Mammalia; Primates; Hominidae.